UACAGAGGUCUCAAGCGUUGUUCGGAUUCAUUGGGCGUAAAGGGUGCGUAGGCGGUUUGGCAAGUCGGGUGUGAAAUUUCGAGGCUCAACCUCGAAACGCCACUCGAUACUGCCAUGACUGGAGUCCGGUAGAGGAGUGCGGAAUUCCUGGUGUAGCGGUGAAAUGCGCAGAUAUCAGGAGGAACACCAACGGCGAAGGCAGCACUCUGGGCCGGUACUGACGCUGAGGAGCGAAAGCGUGGGGAGCAAACAGG
RNAcentral lists this ribosomal RNA (254 nucleotides) under uncultured bacterium. RNAcentral's name for it is "partial 16S ribosomal RNA". It matches the Rfam family "Bacterial small subunit ribosomal RNA", at positions 524 to 776 of the family's 1533-position model. The record is from RNAcentral.